Molecule: transfer RNA, 30 nt
Filed under: Mystacina tuberculata (New Zealand lesser short-tailed bat)
Lineage: Eukaryota; Metazoa; Chordata; Mammalia; Chiroptera; Mystacinidae
Description: partial tRNA-Pro
Source: RNAcentral
AGCUGAAAUUCUAAUUAAACUACUCCUUGA